Long non-coding RNA from Carassius gibelio (silver crucian carp), 4474 nucleotides. RefSeq lists it as uncharacterized. Lineage: Eukaryota; Metazoa; Chordata; Actinopteri; Cypriniformes; Cyprinidae. The record is from RefSeq and is a predicted model, not a curated record. The transcript is spliced from 3 exons.
UGAAAAUAGCGAAAAAACUAAACCUUGCGAUUUUUGAAUUUUAGGGUUCAUUCGACUUGGCCUGAGCCAAGGAUUCAGAGGAAAAAAGAAUUUCCAUUUUCUGGCUUACGGUUCAAAAGUUAUUAGCAUACAAACAUUGAAAGUUUGGACAAGUGGUGGCGCUAGAGAGUAGGAGUUAGAGGCUUCAAAUUUGCUAUAGUUAAUGUUGGGACUGUCCUCUAUCAGUGUGCCAAAUUAUACAACUUUCCCGCAAACGGUUCUAUGGGCUGCCAUAGACUUGCGGCGGAAGAAGAAGAAGAAUAAUAAUAAUAACGCCAACGAAAACAAUAGGUGCCUACGCACCUUCGGUGCUUGGCCCCUAAAUAUAGCUGCAAGCAGCAAUAACGGGGCCAAGCACUACAGAAGCAAGCUUCAGACGAACGGCAGGAAUGAGUAAUUAAGACAGUUUUAAGAUUAUUUUAGGCAAAAUGGCUUGAAAACAAUAAACACAACAACUAGUAAUAGGAUUUAUUGGCUUAUCACGUGUAACCAAUAGGUGGCGCUGUUACCAAAUUAGUUUGAAAUGGUCAGUGUGAGGUGACGAUGACACAUACAAAGUUUUUUGCAAAUAUGUCAAAGCUUUGCAGAGAUACAGCCUCAAAUGCAUUUUGGAACCCUUCCAGCUGAUUCGUUGAUGCGCUAAAUGAGAACCGUUUCGUAUAUUGACACGAAAUCCAUAACAUUUUGCCAGAAUGGUCUGAAGAUGAUCCAUGUCAAAUUUGGUGAAAAUCGGACUAACGGUCUAGGAGGAGUUCGAAAAAGUAGGUUUUCAACAUUAAUCAAAAUGGCGGACAGGAAGUUCAGCCAAAUAAGGAAAACUUGAUAUCUAUGUUCUCGGCUUGACCCAAGGAAUCUAUUAAGAUCAGCGUCAUGUCAAUAGCCAGAUCUUUUCAAAAGUUAUUAGCCUUUAUGUAAAUUGAGUUAUAACUUUUGACCACUAGGUGGCUCUGUUUCAAAAUAUUUUGAGUACCUUCAGGGGAUGAUGUUGUUGGCACAUUCUGAGUUGUGGAAUAUAACACCAAUGCAUUUGUUUAGUAUAGCCUUUUAUUUCACAAAACUGUAUUGAAGUCAAUGGGAAUUUCAUGUUUUGUUAUAUUAUAGCGCCACCAAGAGGCUCAGUCCCACCAUUUCUUUUAUGUGUCAUCAGAGUGAGCCCAUACAUAUGCGUGUCAAUUUUGGUGAAAAUAUCUCAAUUCACUUCAGAGUUAUAGACAUUUACAUGAAAAAACACGUAAAAAUUGACUGACUCUUGACUUUGAUUGAAUAUUACUACCCCUUACUAUCAAUAUUUUUGCAUUUGGGCAUUGGCGUAUAGCUAUCGACCUAUGUUUACGAACUUCUGACGGUGGUUUCGUCUCGAUCAGACAAGCGGUUUCGAAGAUAUAGCCAAAUGUUUUUUAAGCGCUAAAUCACAACGCUACACAAACCGUAAGGCAAAACCUAGCAUGUUUGGUAUUGUAGGACUCUGUAAGGUUUCAGGAGUCCAAUUUGAUGAGUCUGGUGAAAAUACGUCGACCACACCCAAAGUUAUAAGCAUUUAAAAAUAGAAGAUCACCACUAGGUGGCGCUGUUUCGAAACUUCUCAUACUCCUUCAGGACAUUGUGCUGAUGACCCAUACCAUGUUUCGUAACAAUCCGUUGAUGUGUUCAGAAAAUACAGCAUUUUAGCACAAAAUUCAAAAUGGCCGACAGUCAAAAUGGCCGAAAUGGUCAAAUUGGAUAUCAGUCGACUCGGCAUGUUGCCCUGAAUCUAACAAGACCAAUGUUAUGAUUUUUGGACAAACUGUUCAGAAGUUAUAAGCAAAAAUAGCAGUUUUUCAUAUCUCCGGAUCAGUAGGUGGCGCUGCGCCCAAUCACAGCAUGUUGCCUCAGGUCAUGCUUGUUAUGACAUGUACCAAGUUUGGUCUGAAUAGGAUAAGUCGUUGCCGAGAUACAGCCUUACGACUGUUUUUGUAAGCACUACAUAAAAUUUGUUAGAGCGUUUAUCGAAAACGGUUUGACGAAUCAAUUUGAUUUGCAUAACUUUUGGUCAGCACUGCCUGAGGAUGAUAUGGUUUAAUUUUCGUGUGAAUCGGACAAACCGUCUAGGACGAGUUCGAAAAAGUAGGUUUUUAAAGAAAUUCAAAAUGGCGGUCAUAUUUCUAUGACGGAAAUGACUUCGUAGGGUGCAAUCGAAUCGGCAUGAGCUCAGAAAUCAGAGGAAAAAAGAAUUUCGUUGAUUGGCCUUAGGGUUAAAAAGUUAUUAACAAAAUUAAAGUGAAAUUUUGGACAGUUGGUGGCGCUAGAGGGAUUGACUUAGACACACCAAAAUUGGUGUACUUAAUGUUGGCACUGUCCUCUAUCAGAAUGUCAAACCAUUACAACUUUCCCGCAUUCGGUUCUAUGGGCUGCCAUAGACGCCCAGUCGGAAGAAUAAUAAUAAUAAUAAAUAUAGCUGCAAGCAGCAAUUACGGGGCCAAGCACUCCAACGGCAAAUGUAGUAGCUAAGCAUCGCAUAAAGCAUCACACCAAAUACAUUAAUGAGCAAUAACAGCAAUUUUGGAAUUAUUGUAUUUGAAAUGGCAAAAAAAAAAAAACACCAAUACCACCUCUAGUAGCAUGAUUACUUGGUUUAUCAAGCUUGACCAAUAGGUGACACUGUUAUAAAAUCAAUUUGGUGUACUCUGUGUGUCUUUUCAAUGACACACACAAAGUUUGGUGUUAAUAUGCCAAAGCAUUCCAGAGAUGCAGCCUCAAGUGUCAUUUUCUCAUUGUGCCUCAAAUUCGUCGAUGUGGUAUGCGAAAACGGUUUUGUCUAUCGACUCAAAAUCCAUAACUUUGAAUCAGUAUAGCCUGAAGAUCAUUUGAUUCGAAUUUGGUGAAAAUCGGACAAACGGUUGAUCAGGAGUUCGAAAAAGUAUGUUUUCAACAUAAAUCAAAAUGGCGGACCGGAAGUUCAGCUUACCGUGGUAUAUUUGGUAUCUAUGUUAUCGGCAUAAGCCAGGGAAUAUUUUGAGCCCAGUUUCCUUCAAAUAGGCUAAUGCAUUAAAAAGUUAUUAGCAUUUUAAAAAGUGUAAUUACUCAUGGUUAAUGAAUGGUUUAUUACUCUUGACCAAUAGAUGGCGCUGUUACCAAAUUUAUGUGGCAUGGUCAGUGUGAGGUGGCGAUGACACAUACAAAGUUUGGUUCAAAUAUGUCAAAGUGUUGCAGAGAUACAGCCUCAAAUGCAUUUUGGCACCCUUCCAGCAAAUUCGUUGAUGCGCUAAAUGAGAACCGUUACGUAUAUCGACACAAAAUCCAUAACUUUUUGCCAGCAUGGUCUGAAGAUGAUUCACGUCAAAUUUGGUGAAAAUUGGGCUAACGGUCUAGGAGGAGUUCGAAAAAGUAGGUUUUCAACAUUAAGCAAAAUGGCGGACAGGAAGUAAGGCCAAUAUUCACAUUAUUGGUAUCAAUACUCUCGGCAUGACCCACAGAAUAUAGCGAGACCAUUUUAAUUUUAAUAGACUAAUUUAUUCAAAAGUUAUUAGCAUUUAUGUGAUAUUUCAUUAUAACUAUUGGCCACAAGGUGGCGCUGCCACCAAACUUUUUGAGUACCUUCAGGGCAUGGAGCCGAAUAUUUUUGUAAUUAUUUGCGAAACGAUACGAUGCUGCGUUCAAAAAAUACAGCAUUUUGAAACAUAAUUCAAAAUGGCCGACGCCUAAAAUGGCCGACACAGGAAAAUUGGAUAUCAUUCGACUCGACAUGACUCACUGAAUCUAAAGAGACCAGUUGUGUGAUUUUUGGCCAAACCAUUCAAGAGUUAUAAGCCAAAAUAUGCAUUUUUCAUAUCUCCUGACCACUAGGUGGCGCUGUGUCGAAACACUGCAGGUAGUCUCAGUUCAUGCUUGUUAUAACACACGCCAAGUUUGGUCUCAAUAUGACAAACCGUUGCCGGGAUAUAGCCUCACGUGCAUGUUUGCGUGCUUUUCGUCAAAUUUGUUUACGUGUCAUUCGACAACAGUUGGACGAAUCAACUUGAAUUCCAUAACUUUUUGCCAGCAUGGUCUGAAGAUGAUCUGAGCCAAUUUUCGUGGCAAUCGGACUAACCGUCUAGGACGAGUUCGAAAAAGUAGGUUUUUCGAAUAAUUGAAAAUAGCGAAAAAACUAAACCUUGCGAUUUUUGAAUUUUGGGGUUCAUUCGACUUGGCAUGAGCCAAGGAUUCAGAGGAAAAAAGAAAUUCCAUUUUCUGGCUUACGGUUCAAAAGUUAUUAGCAUACAAACAUUGAAAGUUUGGACAAGUGGUGGCGCUAGAGAGUAGGAGAUAGAGACUUCAAAUUUGCUAUAGUUAAUGUUGGGACUGUCCUCUAUCAGUGUGCCAAAUUAUACAACUUUCCCGCAAACGGUUCUAUGGGCUGCCAUAGACUUGCGGCGGAAGAAGAAGAAGAAGAAGAAGAAAUAUAGCUGCAAGCAGCAAU